AGGGAAUUUUCCACAAUGGGCGAAAGCCUGAUGGAGCAACGCCGCGUGAACGAUGAAGGUCUUCGGAUUGUAAAGUUCUGUUGCCAGGGACGAAUAAGUACCGUUCGAACAGGGCGGUACCUUGACGGUACCUGACGAGAAAGCCCCGGCUAACUACGUGCCAGCAGCCGCGGUAAUACGUAGGGGGCACGCGUUGUCCGGAAUUAUUGGGCGUAAAGCGCGCGCAGGCGGUCGGGUAAGUCUGAUGUUAAAGCCCGGGGCUCAACCCCGGUUCGCAUUGGAAACUGCUCGACUUGAGUGCAGAAGAGGAAAGCGGAAUUCCACGUGUAGCGGUGAAAUGCGUAGAGAUGUGGAGGAACACCAGUGGCGAAGGCGGCUUUCUGGUCUGUAACUGACGCUGAGGCGCGAAAGCGUGGGGAGCAAAC
This 425-nucleotide ribosomal RNA is filed under the name uncultured bacterium. Its description in RNAcentral is "bacterial SSU rRNA". It matches the Rfam family "Bacterial small subunit ribosomal RNA", at positions 356 to 773 of the family's 1533-position model. The record is from RNAcentral.